Molecule: ribosomal RNA, 344 nt
Filed under: uncultured Flavobacterium sp.
Lineage: Bacteria; Pseudomonadati; Bacteroidota; Flavobacteriia; Flavobacteriales; Flavobacteriaceae
Description: bacterial SSU rRNA
Rfam family: Bacterial small subunit ribosomal RNA
Source: RNAcentral
UCGAGAGUUUGAUCCUGGCUCAGGAUGAACGCUAGCGGCAGGCCUAACACAUGCAAGUCGAGGGGUAGAGGAAGCUUGCUUCCUUGAGACCGGCGCACGGGUGCGUAACGCGUAUGCAAUCUACCUUUUACAGAGGGAUAGCCCAGAGAAAUUUGGAUUAAUACCUCAUAGUAUGUGAGAAUCGCAUGGUUUUUCACAUUAAAGUUCCAACGGUACAAGAUGAGCAUGCGUCCCAUUAGUUAGUUGGUAAGGUAACGGCUUACCAAGACAAUGAUGGGUAGGGGUCCUGAGAGGGAGAUCCCCCGACACUGGUACUGAGACACGGACCAGACUCCGUACGGGGA